GCCGGUCUGGCGUAGGCGGUCCGCGCGCCUGUUUGAAGCACAGGAGGACCCGGUUCGACUCCGGGGGCCGGCA
Molecule: transfer RNA, 73 nt
Filed under: Corallococcus macrosporus
Lineage: Bacteria; Pseudomonadati; Myxococcota; Myxococcia; Myxococcales; Myxococcaceae
Also listed under: 2 other names
Description: tRNA-Phe (GAA) (tRNA-Phe-GAA-2-1)
Rfam family: tRNA
About the family: Transfer RNA (tRNA) molecules are approximately 80 nucleotides in length. Their secondary structure includes four short double-helical elements and three loops (D, anti-codon, and T loops).
Source: RNAcentral